This 81-nucleotide ribosomal RNA is filed under the name Clostridium perfringens. RNAcentral's name for it is "partial 16S ribosomal RNA". It matches the Rfam family "Bacterial small subunit ribosomal RNA", at positions 1 to 81 of the family's 1533-position model. The record is from RNAcentral. Lineage: Bacteria; Bacillati; Bacillota; Clostridia; Eubacteriales; Clostridiaceae.
UAAAUUGAGAGUUUGAUCCUGGCUCAGGAUGAACGCUGGCGGCGUGCUUAACACAUGCAAGUCGAGCGAUGAAGUUUCCUU